Molecule: ribosomal RNA, 450 nt
Filed under: Phenylobacterium sp.
Lineage: Bacteria; Pseudomonadati; Pseudomonadota; Alphaproteobacteria; Caulobacterales; Caulobacteraceae
Description: bacterial SSU rRNA
Rfam family: Bacterial small subunit ribosomal RNA
Source: RNAcentral
CCAUGCCGCGUGAAUGAUGAAGGUCUUAGGAUUGUAAAAUUCUUUCACCGGGGAAGAUAAUGACGGUACCCGGAGAAGAAGCCCCGGCUAACUUCGUGCCAGCAGCCGCGGUAAUACGAAGGGGGCUAGCGUUGCUCGGAAUUACUGGGCGUAAAGGGCGCGUAGGCGGACAGUUUAGUCAGAGGUAAAAGCCCAGGGCUCAACCUUGGAACUGCCUUUGAUACUGGCUGUCUUGAGUUCGGGAGAGGUGAGUGGAAUGCCGAGUGUAGAGGUGAAAUUCGUAGAUAUUCGGCGGAACACCAGUGGCGAAGGCGACUCACUGGCCCGAUACUGACGCUGAGGCGCGAAAGCGUGGGGAGCAAACAGGAUUAGAUACCCUGGUAGUCCACGCUGUAAACGAUGAGUGCUAGUUGUCGGCAUGCAUGCAUGUCGGUGACGCAGCUAACGCAU